RNAcentral lists this ribosomal RNA (274 nucleotides) under uncultured bacterium. Its description in RNAcentral is "partial 16S ribosomal RNA". It matches the Rfam family "Bacterial small subunit ribosomal RNA", at positions 523 to 796 of the family's 1533-position model. The record is from RNAcentral.
AUACGGAGGGUGCAAGCGUUACUCGGAAUCACUGGGCGUAAAGCGCGCGCAGGCGGCCAUUUAAGUUGGAUGUGAAAGCCUACGGCUCAACCGUAGAACUGCAUCCAAAACUAUUUGGCUAGAGUGUGGGAGAGGAAGAUGGAAUUAGUUGUGUAGGGGUAAAAUCCGUAGAGAUAACUAGGAAUACCAAAAGCGAAGGCAAUCUUCUGGAACAUUACUGACGCUGAGGCGCGAAAGCGUGGGGAGCAAACAGGAUUAGAAACCCGAGUAGUCC